GCGAGCGUUAAUCGGAAUUACUGGGCGUAAAGCGCAUGCAGGUGGUUUGUUAAGUCAGAUGUGAAAGCCCCGGGGCUCAACCUCGGAAUUGCAUUUGAAACUGGCAAACUAGAGUACUGUAGAGGGGGGUAGAAUUUUCAGGUGUAGCGGUGAAAAUGCGUAGAGAUCUGAAGGAAUACCCGGUGGCGAAGGCGGCCCCCCUGGACAGAUACUGACACUCAGAUGCGAAAAGCGUGGGGGAGCAAAACAGGAUUAGAUACCCCUGGUAG
RNAcentral lists this ribosomal RNA (269 nucleotides) under uncultured bacterium. Its description in RNAcentral is "partial 16S ribosomal RNA". It matches the Rfam family "Bacterial small subunit ribosomal RNA", at positions 534 to 793 of the family's 1533-position model. The record is from RNAcentral.